RNAcentral lists this ribosomal RNA (460 nucleotides) under uncultured bacterium. RNAcentral describes it as "partial 16S ribosomal RNA". It matches the Rfam family "Bacterial small subunit ribosomal RNA", at positions 338 to 795 of the family's 1533-position model. The record is from RNAcentral.
CCUACGUGAGGCAGCAGUGAGGAAUAUUGGUCAAUGGGCGCGAGCCUGAACCAGCCAAGUAGCGUGAAGGAUGACUGCCCUACGGGUUGUAAACUUCUUUUAUAAAGGAAUAAAGUGAGGCACGUGUGCCUUUUUGUAUGUACUUUAUGAAUAAGGAUAGGCUAACUCCGUGCCAGCAGCCGCAGUAAUACGGAGGAUCCGAGCGUUAUCCGGAUUUAUUGGGUUUAAAGGGAGCGUAGAUGGGUUGUUAUGUUAGUUGUGAAAGUUUGCGGCUCAACCGUAAAAUUGCAAUUGAUACUGGCAGUCUUGAGUACAGUUGAGGUAGGCGGAAUUCGUGGUGUAGCGGUGAAAUGCUUAGAUAUCACGAAGAACUCCGAUUGCGAAGGCAGCUUACUAAACUGCCACUGACAUUGAUGCUCGAAAGUGUGGGUAUCAAACAGGAUUAGAUACCCGGGUAGUC